Bombina bombina (fire-bellied toad) is the source of this 904-nucleotide long non-coding RNA. RefSeq lists it as uncharacterized. The record is from RefSeq and is a predicted model, not a curated record. The transcript has 2 exons. Lineage: Eukaryota; Metazoa; Chordata; Amphibia; Anura; Bombinatoridae.
CAAGCAGAGAGAUCACUUCAGCCAAACUUCUCACAGCGUGUAGUGAGCAUAUCAGGAGAACUACAUACUUGCAACAAAACAGAUUCUCACAGCAGAAAUACAUACACUGUCUGCCCAAAUACAGAGAUUCCAGCAGCUGCUUGGUAUCCUCUGCCUUCUGAGUCUCCUGUACUUGCUUUACUAGUGUGAGCUUACCUGAAUCCUGCUGUAAAAGCUGUACUUCCCUGGUAUUCCGUGACAGCCUCAACAACAAUACUAACUUGGUUUCCUGUGCCUCCUUAGUCUCCUUUACUUGGUGUACCAGUGGCAGCUUCCCUGAAUAUUGCUGUACCAGCUGCACUUACCUGGCAUCCCACAACUGCCUCACCAACAGUACCCGCUGGGUAUCCUGUGCCUGCUGAGUUUCCUGCAUUUUCUGUACUGGUGGCAGCUUACCUGAAUCCUGCUGUACCAGCUGAACUUACCUGGUAUCCCGUGUCAACCUCAUGAACAGUACCUGCUUAGUAUCCUGUACCUGCUGAGUCACCUUUACUUGCUGUACCAGCGGCAGCUUACCUGAAUCUUGUUGUACCAGCUGCACUUACCUGUCAUUCCAUGACAGCCUCACCAACAGUACUUGCUUGGCAUUCUGUGCCUGCUGAGUUUCCUGCACUUGCUGUACCAGCUGCACUUAACUUGUAUUCUGUACCAGCCUCAUCAACAGCACUUGUUUGAUGUUGCUCCUGCUUUACCCUUUUGUACCAUAUUGCUGGACUGAUCCCACAGUACCCAACCGUUGGCUUGUUCCAGGACUCUGCUCUUGUUUACCACUUGGGCUAUAGUUGCUGGACUGAUCUCAUGGUACUUAACCUUUGAUUAAUUCUCUGUUUCUGUUUUUCUUGUUUUAUUAAAGCCCUUAAAUGAC